UCUUAGUGGAUUAGGGGUGUGCACAACAAAUGGUAUUGGGAUCAGGGGCCUUGAGGCCCAUCACGAAAUGCAAAUGUGAGGCUGAAGCCAUCAGACCUCACUUAUUUCCUAAAUCAAUCAUGUUUAGCCCUUUUUCCCUAAACAAACCCCACAACGAAACCCCUGCUCCACCUUGCUGGAAAUCCCCUCCGGCAGCGACGGAGGUCCAAACCAAUCCUAACUUACCUCAAUCAGAUCGUCUAUGAACCCUCACUCUCAAUCUCAUAUUAAUGUCCUCCAAUUCUCUAACCCUAGUUUGUACGAAUGGAAAACUUGUUGUGGUUGUUGUUGAAUGUUGUCUGCAUGUGAGAGUGAGGGAAACGUUGAGAUAUUAAGAGUUCCAGGGAGAACUCAAAGAGAGUGUAUUGAGAGAGAAAAAGAACAUAGAGAGUUGAGAGACUUUUCAGUGGAAGGUGGUGGUGAUUGUGAUUGUUGAUGAAUUUGAGAGUGAUGAGGAAUUAUAUAAAGGAUGAUGAUGUAACUGAUUUGGGCAGGUUGGGCAGAGGUGUUAACAGAGUUAGGGCACAGUUAAGUCUAAGUUGGAUUGAGGAGCUUGUUAUAUGUUAGGGUUCUGUUAACUUAUGUUAAAUGUUAAUGAGAUGAAUCCAGAUAGUGAAGUAUUAUUAGUGAUUUAAGGCUAUCUUGUCAGUUAUAGUUGAUGAUCUUAAUGGCAAGUGUUAGUUAACUUUCUGUUAAAACUGUUGGUUUAGUUUAUUAAGUUUGUUACAUUGAUUAUGCAAGUUUAGUUAGUGAUUAAAAAUUGUUAGUUCUGUUAGUGUGAUUUUUGAAUCAGUUAAAAGUGUUGGUGUUAAAGUGAGAGUUAAAUUGUUAGUGAAGAAGAAGUGAGUUUGGAUUAGGGUGUUGAAAACAAUUAGUUAUGCAGCUAAAAUAAUUUAGGGGAAUUAGGGAAAUCGAGAGAAUUUUUUAUAGCUAUGUUAGCUUUUAGAUUCAGUUAGUUUUGGAAUGUUAAACUAGUGAACUGCUUGGGAAAUGCUACUGAACUAGUGUUGGAUUGGAAUCUAGUUAUUGAAUUCAGUUACAAAGCUAACUUCCAGGGCCUCUUUAAAGAGUAAUUGACAGUUAGGUUAUAGGAAUGACUUAGUUAUGUAGUUAUGCUAUUGUUUUGCAGGGUUGUCUUGGGCUUAGCAUGGAGAUAAUGACAUGAGCAAAACUUCAACAUGAGCAAAACUUGACUUUUGAUCUGAGACUUGAACAUGAGCAUAAUUUGGCAUGAUGCACCAUAACAAAGAUUGGUGACUUGGAGACCAAAGUGGGAGUCAUGAAGAUGAAUACGGGAAUAAGUCUAGGGUUAAGUUGACUUUGGUCAACUAUUUGACCAAAAAGUCAACAGUUGACCAAAAGUAAACCUUAGAUCAAAGUUAGGGGUUCCUUUGUAUAAUCUCAAAUUUGCACGUGUAAUGUACUUUUUUGAUGUUUUGAAUGUAGAUUGACCAUUACAUGUAACUUGACUAAUGCCUUAAGUAAAAUGGAACUUUUCCCUCCAUAUUUGAAAAA
Lathyrus oleraceus (garden pea) is the source of this 1554-nucleotide long non-coding RNA. RefSeq lists it as uncharacterized. The transcript has 2 exons. The record is from RefSeq and is a predicted model, not a curated record. NCBI's taxonomy places the organism in Eukaryota, Viridiplantae, Streptophyta, Magnoliopsida, Fabales, Fabaceae.